ACCGGCGCACGGGUGAGUAACGCGUAUCCAACCUGCCCACCACUUGGGGAUAACCUUGCGAAAGUAAGACUAAUACCCAAUGGUGAUGGAUGGGGAUGCGUCUGAUUAGCUUGUUGGCGGGGUAACGGCCCACCAAGGCGACGAUCAGUAGGGGUUCUGAGAGGAAGGUCCCCCACAUUGGAACUGAGACACGGUCCAAACUCCUACGGGAGGCAGCAGUGAGGAAUAUUGGGCAAUGGGCGAAAGCCUGACCCAGCGACGCCGCGUGAAGGAAGAAGGCCUCGGGUUGUAAACUUCAGUCAACAGGGAAGCGGUACCUGUGGAGGAAGCCACGGCUAACUACGUGCCAGCAGCCGCGGUAAUACGUAGGUGGCAAGCGUUAUCCGGAUUUACUGGGUGUAAAGGGUGUGUAGGCGGGUCUGCAAGUCAGAUGUGAAAACUAUGGGCUCAACUCAUAGCUUGCAUUUGAAACUGCGGAUCUUGAGUGUCGGAGAGGUAAAUGGAAUUCCCGGUGUAGAGGUGAAAUUCGUAGAUAUCGGGAGGAACAC
This 548-nucleotide ribosomal RNA is filed under the name uncultured bacterium. RNAcentral's name for it is "bacterial SSU rRNA". It matches the Rfam family "Bacterial small subunit ribosomal RNA", at positions 94 to 709 of the family's 1533-position model. The record is from RNAcentral.